GCGAACACGAGGAAAAUGGCGGGCGGAAACUGCGGGGACGAGGGCCCGAGGCCUCUCGCCCUGCCUCCCCACGCCAUACCGCGAGGACCGAACAGAUGGCAUUGUUGAAUUAGAAGGCAGCUCGCACUCGGGGGAUACCCACUCCCAUCUGCAGGAAUAUUAGGCAGAAGCUGUCGCCUCGCGCCGUUUCCAAGCAUACGGGCCUAAGCUGGUCUCAUGGUCCACCUGAGCUGCAAGGAAGCAGGCAUUCAGAAGAGCACAUGGGUAUACAGAGAGUGGUAAUUGUUUCUGAUACAACAUGGAUAGAUGCAAAAUGCAAAUGAAAAGCUCAAGAAGGAAAAAAAAAGAUUUCAUAGGUUAAUACUUUUGUGGAGGGAAGAUGAGAGGACUUCAGAGGGCAUUUAAAAUCAUAAGAAGCUCAUGUAUUACCACUGGUAUUAACAAUCGUUGGGAAAAUUCAUGAUGUCACUUGCUUUGAACAAUAUGAGGACCAGCUGUAAGUGGUACAGAAUGAAGACUAAUGACUGUUCACAUGCAAAACUCAGUCUUGUUGAAGAGGACUUCUUAGGCAGCAACAGAUUGUUAGGCUAAAUUAUUAGCUCAUUUUAAUUGAAAGUGUGAAAAGACAGUGCAUUUUGCAAGAUGGCACUCAGACAGCCAUCUGAUUCUUAGCUGAAAGAGCUUCACCCAAAGCAGCAUCAUAGAUAUGUUACUGUCCAUAGUCUGUAUUUUUAUAAUAUGUGGUCAGAUUGCAUUUGGCUAUACAGUAUUCAAUAAA
Microcebus murinus (gray mouse lemur) is the source of this 778-nucleotide non-coding RNA. NCBI's taxonomy places the organism in Eukaryota, Metazoa, Chordata, Mammalia, Primates, Cheirogaleidae. The record is from RefSeq and is a predicted model, not a curated record.